This 492-nucleotide ribosomal RNA is filed under the name uncultured bacterium. RNAcentral's name for it is "partial 16S ribosomal RNA". It matches the Rfam family "Bacterial small subunit ribosomal RNA", at positions 29 to 507 of the family's 1533-position model. The record is from RNAcentral.
AGUGAACGCUGGCGGUAGGCCUAACACAUGCAAGUCGAACGGCAGCACCGUAAGAGCUUGCUCUUACGGGUGGCGACUGCCGGACGGGUGAGGAAUAACUCGGAAUCUUCUUUUUCGUAGGGGCUAACGUAGGGAAACAUACGCUAAUACCGCAUACCACCUACGGGUGAAAGCAGGGAAUCUUCGGACCUUGCGCGAUUGAAUGGCCCGCUGUCGGAUUAGCUAGUUGGGGGGGUAAAGGCCCACCAAGGCGACGAUCCGUAGCUGGGCGGAAAGGAUGGUCGCCGGCAUUGGAACUGGACCAGGGUCCAGACUCCUGCGGGAGGCAGCAGUGGGGAAUAUGGGGCAAUGGGGGCAAGCCUGAUCCAGCCAUACCGCGUGGGUGGAGGAGACCUUGGGGUUGGGAAGCCCUUUUGUUGGUAGAGAAAAGCAGCAGGUUAAUACGCCGCUGUUCUGACGGUACCCAAAGAAUAAGCACCGGCUAACUUCGUG